GUGACAGAAGCGGAAUGGGAGAGAGUGCAUAGAGAAAAAUAAAAGAUUAAGGCAAAAGGAAAAGACAUAGACACAGAUAAGACCUGAUACCGUCCAAGGAGGAACUGCACAGAAGUUGAUUACGAUCUGGCCACGGAGGGGACAAGAUAAAAAAAGUUCUGAAGGAAGCCAAAGGAUUCUGUUUGUGCGGGGAGAAUCGAGAAAGUCUUCAUGGAGUCAGAAUUUGGAGUAGAUCUUGAAAGACGAGUAAGUGGUGCAACAGGCAAAAUCUGAGAGCACAUCGCUCCUCAGGGACAGCACUCUGACAGUCAUUAUGGCACUGACGGGAAAUAUUAAAGCAGCCAAUGCCUUAUUUCAUCCAGUGUUAUUCAAAGUGUGAUCAUCCAUGGAGGGACCACAUGGGCAUCUCCUGGGAGCUUGGUAGACAAGCAAAUGUCCAGCU
This is a long non-coding RNA of Herpailurus yagouaroundi (jaguarundi), 442 nucleotides long. RefSeq lists it as uncharacterized. The record is from RefSeq and is a predicted model, not a curated record. NCBI's taxonomy places the organism in Eukaryota, Metazoa, Chordata, Mammalia, Carnivora, Felidae. The transcript has 3 exons.